AUACGGAGGGUGCAAGCGUUAUUCGGAAUCACUGGGCGUAAAGGACGCGUAGGCGGGUUGGCAAGUCAGAUGUGAAAUCCUACAGCUUAACUGUAGAACUGCAUUUGAAACUGCUAACCUAGAGUAUGGGAGGGGGAGAUGGAAUUAGUGGUGUAGGGGUAAAAUCCGUAGAUAUCACUAGGAAUACCGAAAGCGAAGGCGAUCUCCUGGAACAUAACUGACGCUAAGGCGUGAAGGCGUGGGGAGCAAACAGGAUUAGAAACCCCUGUAGUCC
RNAcentral lists this ribosomal RNA (274 nucleotides) under uncultured bacterium. RNAcentral's name for it is "partial 16S ribosomal RNA". It matches the Rfam family "Bacterial small subunit ribosomal RNA", at positions 523 to 796 of the family's 1533-position model. The record is from RNAcentral.